This 991-nucleotide ribosomal RNA is filed under the name uncultured Cetobacterium sp. Its description in RNAcentral is "bacterial SSU rRNA". It matches the Rfam family "Bacterial small subunit ribosomal RNA", at positions 8 to 1018 of the family's 1533-position model. The record is from RNAcentral. Lineage: Bacteria; Fusobacteriati; Fusobacteriota; Fusobacteriia; Fusobacteriales; Fusobacteriaceae.
AGAGUUUGAUCCUGGCUCAGGAUGAACGCUGACAGAAUGCUUAACACAUGCAAGUCGAUUCGAAGUUUCUUUCGGGAAAUGGAGGAUGGCGGACGGGUGAGUAACGCGUAAGGAACUUGCCUUUUGGACUGGGACAACUGUUGGAAACGACAGCUAAUACCGGAUAUUAUGAGAUCUUCGCAUGGAGAACUUAUGAAAGCUAUAUGCGCCAAAAGAGAGCCUUGCGUUCCAUUAGCUAGUUGGUGGGGUAAUGGCCCACCAAGGCGACGAUGGAUAGCCGGCCUGAGAGGGUGAACGGCCACAAGGGGACUGAGACACGGCCCUUACUCCUACGGGAGGCAGCAGUGGGGAAUAUUGGACAAUGGGCCACAAGCCUGAUCCAGCAAUUCUGUGUGCACGAUGACGGUCUUCGGAUUGUAAAGUGCUUUCAGUUGGGAAGAAGAAAGUGACGGUACCAACAGAAGAAGCGACGGCUAAAUACGUGCCAGCAGCCGCGGUAAUACGUAUGUCGCAAGCGUUAUCCGGAUUUAUUGGGCGUAAAGCGCGUCUAGGCGGGAAAGAAAGUCUGAUGUUAAAAUGCGGGGCUCAACUCCGUAUUGCGUUGGAAACUCCUUUUCUAGAGUAUCAGAGAGGUGGGCGGAACUACAAGUGUAGAGGUGAAAUUCGUAGAUAUUUGUAGGAAUGCCGAUGGAGAAGUCAGCUCACUGGAUGAAUACUGACGCUAAAGCGCGAAAGCGUGGGGAGCAAACAGGAUUAGAUACCCUGGUAGUCCACGCCGUAAACGAUGAUCACUAGGUGUUGGGGGUCGAACCUCAGCGCCCAAGCUAACGCGAUAAGUGAUCCGCCUGGGGAGUACGUACGCAAGUAUGAAACUCAAAGGAAUUGACGGGGACCCGCACAAGCGGUGGAGCAUGUGGUUUAAUUCGACGCAACGCGAGAAACCUUACCAGCGUUUGACAUCCUAAGAAGUUUCCAGAGAUGGAUUCGUGCC